GGUUUUGCAACUGCCUACAGCAUGCUUUGGAAAGAGAAACUAUGACUAACUUACAUCCCAAGAUCAAAGAGAAAAAUAACUCAUCAUAUAUUCAUAAGAAAAAAAGAAACCCAGAAAAAACACGUGCCCAGUGUAUUACUAAAGAAAGUGAUGAAGAACUUGAAAAUGAUGAUGAUGAUGAUCUAGGAAUCAAUGUUACCAUCUUCCCUGAAGAUUACUAAGCUUUGGUUCUGAUGUAUCUAGGCCGUAAUGUUUCCACUUCUGACAGGUCCUUCAGGAAGUACUCCAGAAGGCGGCGUUGUUAUCAUAGAAGGUGACAGCUUCAUGUGUGUUAUUGCCCCUGAAGACCUUCCAGUGGUACAAGAUGUGGAGGAGGAAGACAGUGAUACCGAGGAUUCUGACCCUGUGUAGGCUUAGGCUAAUGUGUGUGUUUAUAUCUUAGUUUUUCACAAAAAGGUUUUUCCAAUGUUAAAAAUAUAUAUAAAAAAGCUUAUAGAAUAAGGAUAUAAAGAAAUAUUUUGUACAGCUGUACAAUGUGUUUUAAGUUAAGCAUUAUUACCAAAGAGUCAAAAAGUUUUAAGAAAUUAAAGUUUAUAAACCAAAUGUUCAUUGUGAGCCAAGGUUAAUUUAUUGAAGAAAUAAAACAUUUUUAAUGAAAU
Molecule: small RNA, 659 nt
Filed under: Pan troglodytes (chimpanzee)
Lineage: Eukaryota; Metazoa; Chordata; Mammalia; Primates; Hominidae
Description: processed transcript
Source: RNAcentral